UACAUAGGUUGCAAGCGUUAUCCAGAUUUACUGGGCGUAAAGCGAGCGCAGACGGUUAUUCAAGUCCGAAGUUAAAUACUGCAGCUUAACUGUAGUAUGCUUUGGAAACUAAAUAACUUGAGUAUAGUAGAGAUUGUUGGAACUCCAUGUGUAUCGGUGAAAUGAGUAGAUAUAUGGAAGAACACCAGUGGCGAAAGCGAACAAUUGGGCUAUUACUGACGUUUAGGCUCGAAAGUGUGGGGAGCAAAUAGG
This 252-nucleotide ribosomal RNA is filed under the name uncultured bacterium. Its description in RNAcentral is "partial 16S ribosomal RNA". It matches the Rfam family "Bacterial small subunit ribosomal RNA", at positions 524 to 776 of the family's 1533-position model. The record is from RNAcentral.